Molecule: ribosomal RNA, 435 nt
Filed under: uncultured bacterium
Lineage: Bacteria
Description: partial 16S ribosomal RNA
Rfam family: Bacterial small subunit ribosomal RNA
Source: RNAcentral
AACGAACGCUGGCGGCAUGCCUAACACAUGCAAGUCGAACGAUUGCCUUCGGGUGAUAGUGGCGCCCGGGUGCGUAACGCGUGGGAAUCUGCCCUUAGGUUCGGAAUAACAGCUGGAAACGGCUGCUAAUACCGGAUGAUAUCGCGAGAUCAAAGAUUUAUCGCCUGAGGAUGAGCCCGCGUUGGAUUAGGUAGUUGGUGGGGUAAAGGCCUACCAAGCCGACGAUCCAUAGCUGGUCUGAGAGGAUGAUCAGCCACACUGGGACUGAGACACGGCCCAGACUCCUACGGGAGGCAGCAGUGGGGAAUAUUGGACAAUGGGCGCAAGCCUGAUCCAGCAAUGCCGCGUGAGUGAUGAAGGCCCUAGGGUUGUAAAGCUCUUUUACCCGGGAAGAUAAUGACUGUACCGGGAGAAUAAGCCCCGGCUAACUCCGUG